ACCCGCUGAAUUUAAGCAUAUAAGUAAGUGGUGGAAAUUAAACCAACUGGGAUCUCUUCAGUAAUUGCGCAUGAACCAGGAUAUGCUUAGCUUGACAAAUGGAGCUGCUGGCUCUGAAUUGUAUUGUGGGAAUGUAUUACCAACAGAGGUGCAGGUGUCAGCCAUUUGAAAGAAAGCAUCAAUGAGGGUGAGAGUCCUGUUUGUCAUGUGCAGCCUUCUGUGCACGGUGUAUAUUUGCUGAGUCACACUCCUUGGCAUUGGAAUGCAAAGUGGGUGGUAAGUUUCAUGCAAAGGUAAAUAUGCAAUUGAGACUGAUAGCACACAAGUACCAUGAGGGACAUAUGAAAAGGACUUUGAAAAGAGAAUUAAAUGAGUUUGUAUUUGCUAAACACAAAGUAAACAGACUUGAUUUCCUCAGUGAGAUUGUAGUGCUUGCUUAACAAUGGGUUUUGGCUGCAAGUGCAAUAAUUCUUGCUUUGUGUGCCAGUUUUUAUGUGGACAUUUGAUUACCUUUGCACAUGAAUGGUAAUUUUCCUGCGGGGUGUGGAUUGCAUAUGCAUGUAAUGAUUUGCAUGUUUGUUAAAUGUGUCUGGUGUAUUUGUUUGUGUCCUUGUCCUUGAGGUUGCUUUCUCCCUUGGGCUUACAUGCCCUGGCACACACAUUCUGGCAAAAUGCUUCUGCUUGACCCGUCUUGAAACACGGUCCAAGG
RNAcentral lists this ribosomal RNA (709 nucleotides) under Alexandrium catenella. RNAcentral's name for it is "LSU rRNA". It matches the Rfam family "Eukaryotic large subunit ribosomal RNA", at positions 23 to 671 of the family's 3401-position model. The record is from RNAcentral. Lineage: Eukaryota; Dinophyceae; Gonyaulacales; Pyrocystaceae.